Molecule: ribosomal RNA, 454 nt
Filed under: uncultured Parapedobacter sp.
Lineage: Bacteria; Pseudomonadati; Bacteroidota; Sphingobacteriia; Sphingobacteriales; Sphingobacteriaceae
Description: partial 16S ribosomal RNA
Rfam family: Bacterial small subunit ribosomal RNA
Source: RNAcentral
ACGGGAGGCAGCAGUGAGGAAUAUUGGUCAAUGGAGGCAACUCUGAACCAGCCAUCUCGCGUGAAGGAAUACGGCCCUACGGGUCUUAAACUUCUUUUAUAGGGGGAUAAAGUGAGAUAUGUAUAUCUUUUUGUAGGUACCCUAUGAAUAAGCAUCGGCUAACUCCGUGCCAGCAGCCGCGGUAAUACGGAGGAUGCGAGCGUUAUCCGGAUUUAUUGGGUUUAAAGGGUGCGCAGGCGGCGCGUUAAGUCAGCGGUGAAAGGCGACGGCUCAACCGGAGCAGUGCCGUUGAUACUGACGCGCUUGAAUGCGGUCGAGGCCGGCGGAAUGUGGCGUGUAGCGGUGAAAUGCAUAGAUAUGCCACAGAACCCCGAUAGCGAAGGCAGCUGGCCGGGCCUGCAUUGACGCUGAGGCACGAAAGCGUGGGGAUCGAACAGGAUUAGAUACCCUGGUA